This 307-nucleotide long non-coding RNA is filed under the name Calidris pygmaea (Spoon-billed sandpiper). Its description in RNAcentral is "lncRNA (ENSCPGG00000016041.1)". Lineage: Eukaryota; Metazoa; Chordata; Aves; Charadriiformes; Scolopacidae. The record is from RNAcentral.
UAGGGAGGUAGCUGGGCCAGCAGAUCCUGGCUGUCCCUGUUUCUCAAGAUGCCAGCAGUCAGCAAAGCAGACCCUCUGAGUUUGCUCACAAGAACAAACUGGAGUAAAUAUUUAACUUGAGUCUUUGGAGUCUAGGGCUUGUGCCUUUCUUUAUUAUUAACCCAACCCCUGUUUUUCUUCACAGUUGCAGAGCUGCUGGCACACAGGAAACAAAGGACCCUUGAAAUAACUUCCUCAUGGAGGCAUGAGCAAAGAUUUCCAAUGAGCAAGGAAAACAAUAGCCCUUGGGACCACGUGUGUUCUGUAA